UUUUCUUACGUUUAUCCUGGUUGGUUUGUACUGUGAUAUGAUUUAGGCCUUGUUUGUUUGAUCAGUCAGAUGGAUCAUCUGGAUGGAGAUGAGUUUUGAUGUUCGUUUGGUGCCAAAAACGGUUCAUUCAGAUGAUCCAUCCAAAUGAAUCAUCUGGAUGAGUUUGAAAAUUUAGGCUAAAUUUUCAAACUCAUUUGGCUGAACUAAAUUGGAUCAUUUGGAUGGAGAUGAUUCAGUCAAAAAUAACAAAUGACAAAAAUAUCCUAAUUAUUCCAAUUGAUUAUUUAGAUGUAUUUUUAGAUACAAAAACAAAUAGACUAAACCUUAUUUUACAAUUAUU
RNAcentral lists this small RNA (340 nucleotides) under Arabidopsis thaliana (thale cress). RNAcentral describes it as "ATSL181760". The record is from RNAcentral. Lineage: Eukaryota; Viridiplantae; Streptophyta; Magnoliopsida; Brassicales; Brassicaceae.